RNAcentral lists this ribosomal RNA (2734 nucleotides) under Escherichia coli. Its description in RNAcentral is "partial 23S ribosomal RNA". It matches the Rfam family "Bacterial large subunit ribosomal RNA". The record is from RNAcentral. Lineage: Bacteria; Pseudomonadati; Pseudomonadota; Gammaproteobacteria; Enterobacterales; Enterobacteriaceae.
CAUAGGUUAAUGAGGCGAACCGGGGGAACUGAAACAUCUAAGUACCCCGAGGAAAAGAAAUCAACCGAGAUUCCCCCAGUAGCGGCGAGCGAACGGGGAGCAGCCCAGAGCCUGAAUCAGUGUGUGUGUUAGUGGAAGCGUCUGGAAAGGCGCGCGAUACAGGGUGACAGCCCCGUACACAAAAAUGCACAUGCUGUGAGCUCGAUGAGUAGGGCGGGACACGUGGUAUCCUGUCUGAAUAUGGGGGGACCAUCCUCCAAGGCUAAAUACUCCUGACUGACCGAUAGUGAACCAGUACCGUGAGGGAAAGGCGAAAAGAACCCCGGCGAGGGGAGUGAAAAAGAACCUGAAACCGUGUACGUACAAGCAGUGGGAGCACGCUUCGGCGUGUGACUGCGUACCUUUUGUAUAAUGGGUCAGCGACUUAUAUUCUGUAGCAAGGUUAACCGAAUAGGGGAGCCGAAGGGAAACCGAGUCUUAACUGGGCGUUAAGUUGCAGGGUAUAGACCCGAAACCCGGUGAUCUAGCCAUGGGCAGGUUGAAGGUUGGGUAACACUAACUGGAGGACCGAACCGACUAAUGUUGAAAAAUUAGCGGAUGACUUGUGGCUGGGGGUGAAAGGCCAAUCAAACCGGGAGAUAGCUGGUUCUCCCCGAAAGCUAUUUAGGUAGCGCCUCGUGAAUUCAUCUCCGGGGGUAGAGCACUGUUUCGGCAAGGGGGUCAUCCCGACUUACCAACCCGAUGCAAACUGCGAAUACCGGAGAAUGUUAUCACGGGAGACACACGGCGGGUGCUAACGUCCGUCGUGAAGAGGGAAACAACCCAGACCGCCAGCUAAGGUCCCAAAGUCAUGGUUAAGUGGGAAACGAUGUGGGAAGGCCCAGACAGCCAGGAUGUUGGCUUAGAAGCAGCCAUCAUUUAAAGAAAGCGUAAUAGCUCACUGGUCGAGUCGGCCUGCGCGGAAGAUGUAACGGGGCUAAACCAUGCACCGAAGCUGCGGCAGCGACGCUUAUGCGUUGUUGGGUAGGGGAGCGUUCUGUAAGCCUGUGAAGGUGUGCUGUGAGGCAUGCUGGAGGUAUCAGAAGUGCGAAUGCUGACAUAAGUAACGAUAAAGCGGGUGAAAAGCCCGCUCGCCGGAAGACCAAGGGUUCCUGUCCAACGUUAAUCGGGGCAGGGUGAGUCGACCCCUAAGGCGAGGCCGAAAGGCGUAGUCGAUGGGAAACAGGUUAAUAUUCCUGUACUUGGUGUUACUGCGAAGGGGGGACGGAGAAGGCUAUGUUGGCCGGGCGACGGUUGUCCCGGUUUAAGCGUGUAGGCUGGUUUUCCAGGCAAAUCCGGAAAAUCAAGGCUGAGGCGUGAUGACGAGGCACUACGGUGCUGAAGCAACAAAUGCCCUGCUUCCAGGAAAAGCCUCUAAGCAUCAGGUAACAUCAAAUCGUACCCCAAACCGACACAGGUGGUCAGGUAGAGAAUACCAAGGCGCUUGAGAGAACUCGGGUGAAGGAACUAGGCAAAAUGGUGCCGUAACUUCGGGAGAAGGCACGCUGAUAUGUAGGUGAGGUCCCUCGCGGAUGGAGCUGAAAUCAGUCGAAGAUACCAGCUGGCUGCAACUGUUUAUUAAAAACACAGCACUGUGCAAACACGAAAGUGGACGUAUACGGUGUGACGCCUGCCCGGUGCCGGAAGGUUAAUUGAUGGGGUUAGCGGUAACGCGAAGCUCUUGAUCGAAGCCCCGGUAAACGGCGGCCGUAACUAUAACGGUCCUAAGGUAGCGAAAUUCCUUGUCGGGUAAGUUCCGACCUGCACGAAUGGCGUAAUGAUGGCCAGGCUGUCUCCACCCGAGACUCAGUGAAAUUGAACUCGCUGUGAAGAUGCAGUGUACCCGCGGCAAGACGGAAAGACCCCGUGAACCUUUACUAUAGCUUGACACUGAACAUUGAGCCUUGAUGUGUAGGAUAGGUGGGAGGCUUUGAAGUGUGGACGCCAGUCUGCAUGGAGCCGACCUUGAAAUACCACCCUUUAAUGUUUGAUGUUCUAACGUUGACCCGUAAUCCGGGUUGCGGACAGUGUCUGGUGGGUAGUUUGACUGGGGCGGUCUCCUCCUAAAGAGUAACGGAGGAGCACGAAGGUUGGCUAAUCCUGGUCGGACAUCAGGAGGUUAGUGCAAUGGCAUAAGCCAGCUUGACUGCGAGCGUGACGGCGCGAGCAGGUGCGAAAGCAGGUCAUAGUGAUCCGGUGGUUCUGAAUGGAAGGGCCAUCGCUCAACGGAUAAAAGGUACUCCGGGGAUAACAGGCUGAUACCGCCCAAGAGUUCAUAUCGACGGCGGUGUUUGGCACCUCGAUGUCGGCUCAUCACAUCCUGGGGCUGAAGUAGGUCCCAAGGGUAUGGCUGUUCGCCAUUUAAAGUGGUACGCGAGCUGGGUUUAGAACGUCGUGAGACAGUUCGGUCCCUAUCUGCCGUGGGCGCUGGAGAACUGAGGGGGGCUGCUCCUAGUACGAGAGGACCGGAGUGGACGCAUCACUGGUGUUCGGGUUGUCAUGCCAAUGGCACUGCCCGGUAGCUAAAUGCGGAAGAGAUAAGUGCUGAAAGCAUCUAAGCACGAAACUUGCCCCGAGAUGAGUUCUCCCUGACUCCUUGAGAGUCCUGAAGGAACGUUGAAGACGACGACGUUGAUAGGCCGGGUGUGUAAGCGCAGCGAUGCGUUGAGCUAACCGGUACUAAUGAACCGUGAGG